Molecule: long non-coding RNA, 667 nt
Organism: Gopherus flavomarginatus (Mexican gopher tortoise)
Lineage: Eukaryota; Metazoa; Chordata; Testudines; Testudinidae
Exons: 3
Source: RefSeq, a predicted model, not a curated record
AGGGCUUGUCUACAUCAGAAAGUUGCAGCGCUGGUGAGGGAGUUACAGCGCUGCAACUUUGAAGGUGUACACAUCUGCAGGGCACCACCAGCGCUGCAACUCCCUGUUUGCAGCGCUGGCCGUACUCCCGUUUUGUCUCGGGUGUAGAGGAUCCAGCGCUGGUGAUCCAGCGCUGGUAAUCCAAUGUAGACACUUACCAGCGCUUUUCUUGACCUCCGUGGAAGGAGGAAGCCUCUGGUAAUCAAGCUGGUCUCCUUUCCCGGUUUGCUCUCUCGUUCCCGGAGCCCCGAGCAAGCAGGUCUCCUUCCCUGCGGUUUGCUGGGUGGCUCCGGGAACGCGAGAGCAAACCGCGGCGAAGCGGGUCUCCUUUCCCGGUUUGCUCUCUCGUUCCCGGAGCCCCGAGCAAGCAGGUCUCCUUCCCUGCGGUUUGCUGGGUGGCUCCGGGAACGCGAGAGCAAACCGCGGCGAAGCGGGUCUCCUUUCCCGGUUUGCUCUCGCGUUCCCGGAACCCCCCUUGAAGCCGCCCAACAGCGCUGCAGUGUGGCCACAUCUAACACCACUUGCAGCGCUGGUUGCUGUAAGUGUGGCCACUCUGCAGCGCUGGCCCUAUACAGCUGUACUAAUACAGCUGUAACAACCAGCGCUGCAAAACUUUAGAUGUAGACAU